RNAcentral lists this long non-coding RNA (647 nucleotides) under Gallus gallus (chicken). Lineage: Eukaryota; Metazoa; Chordata; Aves; Galliformes; Phasianidae. The record is from RNAcentral.
UUUUGUUGGUUUGUUUUUUUUUUUUCCUCCUUAUUUAAAAAAAAUAAUAAUAAUUUGCUGCCUAGUCGUCUUCAUCAGUUUUCUGCUUCUUGGGAUCGACGUCGUCGUCCUCGUCAUCCUCAGCUGCCCGUUUGCCUGUGGCUCCCUCAGCUUCAUCGUCUUCAUCACCGUCCUCUUCCUCACCAUCACCCUCUUCCUCCUCGUCUUCUUCCUCACCACCUUCCUCUUCCUCUUCAUCUACUUCGUUAUCAGCCUCCUGCUCUCCAUUUUCCUCGUUCUCAGCGUUGCCGUUGGCCGGUGCAUCUCUGCCAUUUUCUGUUUCUUCAACAACUUCCUUCUUCUCUUUUAGAUCCCUCGCUCUCCCCUCACGCAUACGCGCGCCUCCGGCGGGCCGGGGCUUGGCUCGCGCUGGGGGCUCUCCCGCAUUCCCCCCGCCGUAACAUGGGGCUGCGGGUACCCCGGCCCCGCCGCGGGGCCGCCACGGCCCCCCUCCCCCCCCGUCUCAGAGUCCCGCUCGGGGUAACGGGGUGCACCGGCGCACCGAGUGAGGGAGUUUUGCCACACUCAAGAUGGCGCCGGGAACCCUUCGUGGGGCAAUCACACGGCUCCACCGCUCCUCGGGAGCCGCUCCGCUGCCAACAAAAGCC